This 85-nucleotide transfer RNA is filed under the name Chloroflexota bacterium. RNAcentral describes it as "tRNA-Leu". It matches the Rfam family "tRNA". From Rfam's summary of the family: Transfer RNA (tRNA) molecules are approximately 80 nucleotides in length. RNAcentral also lists the same sequence under 1 other name. The record is from RNAcentral. Lineage: Bacteria; Bacillati; Chloroflexota.
GCGGGAGUGGCGAAAUGGCAGACGCGCUUGACUUAGGAUCAUGUGUCCAAAAGACGUGUGGGUUCGACUCCCACCUCCCGCACCA